RNAcentral lists this ribosomal RNA (371 nucleotides) under Aurantiochytrium limacinum. RNAcentral's name for it is "partial Eukaryotic large subunit ribosomal RNA". It matches the Rfam family "Eukaryotic large subunit ribosomal RNA", at positions 2963 to 3352 of the family's 3401-position model. Lineage: Eukaryota; Bigyra; Thraustochytrida; Thraustochytriidae. The record is from RNAcentral.
UUAGACCGUCGUGAGACAGGUUAGUUUUACCCUACUGAUGAGAAUCGUUGACGCGACAGUAAUGCAGGUUAGUACGAGAGGAACCCCUGUUUCAGACAAUUGGUAAAUGCGGUUGCUUGAAAAAGCAAUGCCGCGAAGCUACCAUCUGUUGGUUUAGGGCUGAACGCCUCUAAGUCCGAAACCAUGCUGGAAAGCGUCGAUAUUCACCUCUCCCAAUGUUAUACGAGUAAAGAUACUCUUGUACCAUAUAAUUGCGACGCAUUGGAAGUUAAAUUCCAAGAGAUGCUGAAUCACAAUUUCAAAUAUCGGGAGGGAUAAAUCCUUUGUAGACGACUUAACUUUUAGACGGAGUAUUGUAAGCAUGAGAGUAG